Molecule: ribosomal RNA, 432 nt
Filed under: uncultured bacterium
Lineage: Bacteria
Description: bacterial SSU rRNA
Rfam family: Bacterial small subunit ribosomal RNA
Source: RNAcentral
GACGAACGCUGGCGGCGUGCCUAACACAUGCAAGUCAACUUGACUGAAGGAGCAAUCUGACAGUAGAGUGGCGCAAGGGUGCGUAACGCGUAAGUAACUUGCCCAAGGUAAGGAAUAACGUCGAGAAAUCGGCGCUAAUACCUCAUAAUGCAGCGGAUCCGCAUGGAUAUGUUGUUAAAGGUUUACCGCCUUGGGAUAGGCUUGCGUCUGAUUAGUUAGUUGGUGUGGUAACCGGCACACCAAGGCUACGAUCAGUAACUGGUCUGAGAGGAUGAUCAGUCACACUGGAACUAAGACACGGUCCAGACUCUACGGGAGGCAGCAGUGAGGAAUAUUGGGCAAUGCUCGAAAGAGUGACCCAGCAACGCCGCGUGGAGGAUGAAGGUAUUCUAUAUCGUAAACUCCUGUGAGAGCAGACGAAAGACAGAAUUA